CCUACGGGAGGCAGCAGUGAGGAAUAUUGGGCAAUGGGCGCGAGCCUGAACCAGCCAAGCCGCGUGAAGGAUGACUGCCCUACGGGUUGUAAACUUCUUUUAUAAAGGAAUAAAGUGAGGCACGAGUGCCUUUUUGUAUGUACUUUAUGAAUAAGGAUCGGCUAACUCCGUGCCAGCAGCCGCGGUAAUACGGAGGAUCCGAGCGUUAUCCGGAUUUAUUGGGUUUAAAGGGAGCGUAGAUGGGUUGUUAAGUCAGGUGUGAAAGUUUGGGGCUCAACCGUAAAAUUGCAUUUGAUACUGGGAGUCUUGAGUACAGUUGAGGUAGGCGGAAUUCGUGGUGUAGCGGUGAAAUGCUUAGAUAUCACGAGGAACUCCGAUGGCGAAGGCAGCUUACUAAACUGCCACUGACGCUGAUGCUCGAAAGUGUGGGUAUCAAACAGGAUUAGAUACCCGGGUAGUC
Molecule: ribosomal RNA, 460 nt
Filed under: uncultured bacterium
Lineage: Bacteria
Description: partial 16S ribosomal RNA
Rfam family: Bacterial small subunit ribosomal RNA
Source: RNAcentral